AUUGUGUUCUGCUAUGGAUAUUUGUGUUAGUUUCUUAAUCUACAUCUGCUAUUGUGCUUUUAGAUAUUCUCUCUUGUCAAAGUUGGGUUGUCCCAGAAUUGAUGAAAAAUGAGUAAUUGCUUACAAUUAGCCUUUCUAAAUUGUCUUACAAUUCCUGUGCUUUUGGUUGCAGGCAUAUGUGGAAAAGGUUCACAAGGCCUAGUGAAUGCAGUUUAGAAAAUUUAGCCACCUAAUUUGUGGAUUCUAUUUUAGGAAUUGUUAUUUAUUGUCUUAGAUGUGUAUUAUGUUUUCUUACACCCAGAUUUUUGUUUUAGGAUGAGGACAUUUUCCUUUGGGAUGAGGACCUUGGAGUUUAAGAGUUCCACCCAGAUAAGAAUUUAUAUAUCUAUCAUUAAAAGUGAAGGGCUGGAGAUUUCACAACCAGCACUUGAUCCACAACUUUCUGAAAGGUCUUGCUGUGGAGAUUUCACAACCAGCUCUGGAGAUUUUUCAGUUACUUACUGUGCUUAGAACUGGGUUUUGACUUCAUUGGUAUCCAAAUUGAAAGGUCUUGCUGAGAGAAAAAAGCUAGAGGACUUGACAAUUGGUCCAGUUCUCACUGACAUACAAAAUUGGAGGUUGUGAUUUAAGCAGCACUGCUCCUCCUUGUACCAGGUGGAUUGAAAUGAUGGCUCCUGGAUUAGUAAUAUGUAAUUCAAGGAUGGUAGCUUGCUUAGAAUCUUCGUUAGCUUGGGUACUAGUAGUGUUUUUUUAUUUCAGUAAAAACUAGUGGUCUCUUUUGUAACUUCCUGCUGAUUCUAAAAUUUUUUCUCUUAUGUAAUAAUAUGUAAAGGAAGUAGAUAAUGUAAUAGUUGUUGUAAUGAUUUUGAUUUUUGGUAUUUUGUUAGAGCAUGUCAUGUGAUCAAUCACACUAUAUUUGGUGACAAGUUUAUAAAGAUUGGAUUAGUUGAUUUAAAA
This is a non-coding RNA of Arachis ipaensis, 957 nucleotides long. Lineage: Eukaryota; Viridiplantae; Streptophyta; Magnoliopsida; Fabales; Fabaceae. The record is from RefSeq and is a predicted model, not a curated record.